GACGUAGGGUGCGAGCGUUGUCCGGAUUUAUUGGGCGUAAAGAGCUCGUAGGCGGCUCGUCGCGUCGACCGUGAAAACCCGCGGCUUAACUGCGGGCUUGCGGUUGAUACGGGCGGGCUAGAGUUCGGUAGGGGAGACUGGAAUUCCUGGUGUAGCGGUGAAAUGCGCAGAUAUCAGGAGGAACACCGGUGGCGAAGGCGGGUCUCUGGGCCGAUACUGACGCUGAGGAGCGAAAGCAUGGGUAGCGAACAGG
Molecule: ribosomal RNA, 253 nt
Filed under: uncultured bacterium
Lineage: Bacteria
Description: partial 16S ribosomal RNA
Rfam family: Bacterial small subunit ribosomal RNA
Source: RNAcentral